RNAcentral lists this ribosomal RNA (253 nucleotides) under uncultured bacterium. Its description in RNAcentral is "partial 16S ribosomal RNA". It matches the Rfam family "Bacterial small subunit ribosomal RNA", at positions 524 to 776 of the family's 1533-position model. The record is from RNAcentral.
UACGAACUGUGCAAACGUUAUUCGGAAUCACUGGGCUUAAAGGGUGCGUAGGCGGCCAUUUAAGUAGGGUGUGAAAGCCCCCGGCUCAACCGGGGAAUGGCGUCCUAAACUGGAUGGCUGGAGUGAGAUAGAGGUGUGUGGAACUUCCGGUGGAGCGGUGAAAUGUGUUGAUAUCGGAAGGAACGCCGGUGGCGAAAGCGACACACUGGGUCUCAACUGACGCUGAGGCACGAAAGCCAGGGGAGCGAACGGG